Molecule: ribosomal RNA, 1451 nt
Filed under: uncultured organism
Description: 16S ribosomal RNA
Rfam family: Bacterial small subunit ribosomal RNA
Source: RNAcentral
ACGAACGCUGGCGGCGUGCUUAACACAUGCAAGUCGAACGGAAAGGCCCUGCUUUUGUGGGGUGCUCGAGUGGCGAACGGGUGAGUAACACGUGAGUAACCUGCCCUUGACUUUGGGAUAACUUCAGGAAACUGGGGCUAAUACCGGAUAGGAGCUCCUGCUGCAUGGUGGGGGUUGGAAAGUUUCGGCGGUUGGGGAUGGACUCGCGGCUUAUCAGCUUGUUGGUGGGGUAGCGGCUUACCAAGGCUUUGACGGGUAGCCGGCCUGAGAGGGUGACCGGCCACAUUGGGACUGAGAUACGGCCCAGACUCCUACGGGAGGCAGCAGUGGGGAAUAUUGCACAAUGGGCGGAAGCCUGAUGCAGCAACGCCGCGUGCGGGAUGACGGCCUUCGGGUUGUAAACCGCUUUCGCCUGUGACGAAGCGUGAGUGACGGUAAUGGGUAAAGAAGCACCGGCUAACUACGUGCCAGCAGCCGCGGUGAUACGUAGGGUGCGAGCGUUGUCCGGAUUUAUUGGGCGUAAAGGGCUCGUAGGUGGUUGAUCGCGUCGGAAGUGUAAUCUUGGGGCUUAACCCUGAGCGUGCUUUCGAUACGGGUUGACUUGAGGAAGGUAGGGGAGAAUGGAAUUCCUGGUGGAGCGGUGGAAUGCGCAGAUAUCGGGAGGAACACCAGUGGCGAAGGCGGUUCUCUGGGCCUUUCCUGACGCUGAGGAGCGAAAGCGUGGGGAGCGAACAGGCUUAGAUACCCUGGUAGUCCACGCUGUAAACGGUGGGUACUAGGUGUGGGGUCCAUUCCACGGGUUCCGUGCCGUAGCUAACGCUUUAAGUACCCCGCCUGGGGAGUACGGCCGCAAGGCUAAAACUCAAAGGAAUUGACGGGGCCCCGCACAAGCGGCGGAGCAUGCGGAUUAAUUCGAUGCAACGCGUAGAACCUUACCUGGGUUUGACAUGGAUCGGGAGUGCUCAGAGAUGGGUGUGCCACUUUUGGGGUCGGUUCACAGGUGGUGCAUGCCUGUCGUCAGCUCGUGUCGUGAGAUGUUGGGUUAAGUCCCGCAACGAGCGCAACCCUUGUUCACUGUCGCCAGCACGUUAUGGUGGGGACUCAGUGGAGACCGCCGGGGUCAACUCGGAGGAAGGUGGGGAUGACGUCAAGUCCUCAUGCCCCUUAUGUCCAGGGCUUCACGCAUGCUACAAUGGCUGGUACAGAGAGUGGCGAGCCUGUGAGGGUGAGCGAAUCUCGGAAAGCCGGUCUCAGUUCGGAUUGGGGUCUGCAACUCGACCUCAUGAAGUCGGAGUCGCUAGUAAUCGCAGAUCAGCAACGCUGCGGUGAAUACGUUCCCGGGGCUUGUACACACCGCCCGUCAAGUCAUGAAAGUUGGUAACACCCGAAGCCGGUGGCCUAACCGUUGUGGGGGAGCCGUCGAAGGUGGGACUGGUGAUUAGGACUAAGUC